AAAAGGUUCACCGCAUCCCCCCACCCGCACGCCGGCGCUUGCAUCGCCCCCACGGCUCCGCCUCGCUUGGCACCGGCCCACCUCGCCGCCGGCCCUCCCCCUCACCUUCUCCCACCUUGCAGCGCCGGCGUGUGCCAGAUCCGCCUGCAUCCCCCAGCCAACCAUCCCUCUCACAUCUCAUCUCUCUCUCCAUGCGGCUCCUCGCUGCGCUACCUGCCGCGGCUGAUCCAAACGACGUCCGGCGAAUCCCCACCACCACGAAGCACCGCUCGAGGCCCCCUCGCACUCGUGGCGCCCUCUCAUACGACUAGAUCCGGCGCUCGCGGCCAGUAAAGCUCACCGGCGACCCUCCUCCCAUGGCUAGGGUUUCGGGCAUCUACUCCGGCGCCGGUGGCCAAGUUGCCCUCCUCUCGUCCGACGUGGAGGGAGGUACUGUGGACAGCCUUCCUGCUGCUCGGGACGAAGUAGCCAUGGAGCUUCCUCCUCCUCCUCUGGCUUCAGGUGAGUUUGUCCGCCGUGAUCCAUCUAACGGCCAGCGCGAUGACCUAGAAAGUAGGACAGGGCCUGGACAUGGUAGGUCACAAACAUCCAUCUAUUUUGCCCUCCUGUACAUAUUUUGAUGUUGGAUCGGUGCUGUGUUUCAAUUGCUAAGAAAGCAGAAUAAAAGGGCUAUGUUCUGUAGUUAGCAGCUGGACCUAGGCGUCUCCAUAUCAUACCUCCACAAAGAAAAUAUCAUACUAAAUCUACUAUUAUGUCAGUUUGCCCAUAUGCACAAUUUACCUUUUUCCUAACAAGUUCCGAUCCUCACCCCUUCACUAGCUACUUACUCAUGGUGCUGGUCAAUGCACUCUAUGUGGUAAACUGCUACGAGGCUCUAUUCUUUUUCUUCAAAAUAAAUUACUUUAAUUAUAAGAGAUGGAGUUUUUUCCAGGAAUAUUUGAUUACUGUUUGGUUUGAUCAGCUAGGGAUACCAUAUUUUUGAAAAGCAAUCAAAAUCUGUUUCUGGGUAGAUGCACUGCAAAAAUACCAGCAUCAUUAGAACAUAAAGAUAGGGAUGUGCUUAAUAAUUACCCUCACUGUCCUACUGAUAGUUCUCUUUGUUCUUGCAAAGGUGCUUAUUAAUCCACUGAAACCAUGUUAUAAGAUGCAAUUGUUUUAUCUCCUGAAAAAGCAUGAAGAUUUGUUUCUUUUAGUAAUUAAUUGAAACCACCUGUAAGCCUGCAAUGAAGCUUCUAUUAUUUUUGUCUCAUCAAUUCGGUAGCUAUUUUAUGCAAUAUGUUUUACUUAAAUUUCAGCAAAGGGAGCAUCUAUAUUUUGACAUAUGAACUGGUCUCUUUUUCUUUUCUUGACGGAGCGCACCUGGGCUCUUGAACGGCAUUCAAUACCCUGGUCAUAUCCUCAAAUUAAGCCAAUCUCACCAUGGGUCUUAUUCGCUGCCACCACCGGCAUGUUUCCAGCCGACCACCCAAAGACACUAACUUCAUGCAAAAUCGCAUUGCAGAUCGCAGCAUCAUGUCGAUAUGGCACUGUGAAAAUUGAAGAUUUGGUAUGGAGUCGCAAAAACUGCAAUACUCUCGGUAAUGCAGAAAAAACAAAGAUUUCAUGGUCUUCAACCUUUAUUCAAAAGAUACAUGGAUGAUUAUAUGGGUGUGUGGCAAGUAUACUGCAAUGAUGAUGAUGUUUCGGUUCAUCAUGAUGAUGAUGGAUGCUUUCAGUUUAGUUAAGUUGUAGGAAUUUUGUUCCUGUUGGAUGAUGUUUCUCAGUUAAGGUUUAGUUAAGUUGUAGGUAUGUUGAUGGAUGCUUUCAGUUUAAGUCUGGUUGUCAAGAAAAUAUUCAUUUUUCUGUAGGUCCAUGUUUCUUUUGGUGGGAUCUAUUUAAUUUGAAGUACUUCUUUCUACAGAGACAACUUGUUCACAAGGAGUGUGCUUCCUUCUACAGAGACAGCUGGUACACAUGGAGGUUGGGUUCGUUACUCGUGGUGGCAAAAAAGAUGGCACCUACCUUGUAUCUUGUUGGCCAAGGGUAGGAAGGGACACUUUGCAGAUGGAAGGGGGUGUUGUAGGGCAGUUACUCUAAAGGAAUGAAUGGAAAAAGGCAGAGGUGUUUAUCAUCGAAAACUAAACUUGCAUGUACCCAUCUUAUGUGAAUAAGCAUGUAACCAGCUUAUAUCGAUAUUUUCAUUGUAAUGGAGACAUAAGACACAAGUGACAUGUUAAACUCAAAUAAUAUUUUUAUUAGUAUC
This is an RNA transcript of Triticum dicoccoides, 2242 nucleotides long. RefSeq lists it as uncharacterized. Lineage: Eukaryota; Viridiplantae; Streptophyta; Magnoliopsida; Poales; Poaceae. The record is from RefSeq and is a predicted model, not a curated record. The transcript is spliced from 5 exons.